This 1697-nucleotide long non-coding RNA is filed under the name Brassica napus (rape). RNAcentral describes it as "long non-coding RNA (BNAP_LNC012738)". The record is from RNAcentral. Lineage: Eukaryota; Viridiplantae; Streptophyta; Magnoliopsida; Brassicales; Brassicaceae.
GAAAGCCCAAGAGAGAAAGACUGAUGUCGGCCGCCUUCACGCGAACCGCACCAUCAUCACCAUCUCCAAACCACAGGAGAAUCACCCAUCGAUUCACCGCGCUACACCGGAGCCCAUAGACUCCUCACCUUCAUCACCACGACCGCCAAACCUCCCAGGACCGCCUAAUCUCGGAGAGGAUCAAUCGUGAUCGAGAUCUCAUCCGCCAUAGUUCAAUACGAGGACCAAGAAGGAGGCUUCGCUCAAGCAACAACCUUUACUCCGGUUAUCUUCCAUCGUCCUCCGACGAGAAACUCAUCCAACAAACCCGAACCAUCUUGACUUAACCAGAGAACAACACAAAAAAAACUACAGAAAGUAAACCCUAGAAGGGAACUAAGGGUGCAGAAGCCGGCAGCCAUGGAUCUGUAAGAGCCUCCACGCUCCGGUAACUUAACCGGCGCCACAGAGCUAAAGAAGCCUCCGCAACCCGGGAGCUUUAUCGGCGAUGCUAGAGCUGUGUAAGCCUCUACAACCCGGAUCAAAACGCCGCAGAAAUGGAGAUCUGACUAUCCUAUCUCCUCUCUCCUCGCCGCGUUUUUAUGAUUUUAUCGAUAUUUUUGGGAUUUAUUAUAUUAUUUGGAUUUAUGGUUAUUUAUUGGAUUUACGACUUUGGAGUUGACUUUUGAGAAGUAAUAAAAGGAGAUUUCAGACUUAUUAUUUAUUUAAGUUAUUUCGGAAAAUACAGGUGUUACAGGUGUACUAUACUAGAAAUUGUUAUGUUAAUUAAAACCAAAUUACUUUCGAAUAUAUAUAUAUAUAUAUGCUUUUUUACAAUACAAUCAAUGUAUUUAUCUGGAUAUAACAAAGUAUUAUGUAUAUCAUUUUCAAUAAAUAAAUAAAUAGCCUAAUCUUUUUAUCAGAACAAAGAAAAAAGAGAUAGCUUUUUGAGUGUAUUUCUGAGAAGUGACUCUUUGCAUAUCCAAAAGUCGUCUUUUUUUUUUCCCCAAAUUUUAUUAUAUUAAGAUUAAGAUUAGGGCCAAGCCCAAGAACCCAACAACCGACAGCCACAAAACAAACAUUGGGCUCCAAACGAAAAGGCCGAAGCCCAAAUACAUUAAACGGGCCCGAAGGCCCAAAAACCAAACACCGCAACCCGAAACCCCAAGAGAGAAAGACUGAUGUCGGCCGCCUUCACGCGAACCGCACCAUCAUCACCAUCUCCACUACCACAGGAGAAUCACCCAUCGAUUCACCGCGCUACACCGGAGCCCAUAGACUCCUCACCUUCAUCACCACGACCGCCAAACCUCCCAGGACCGCCUAAUCUCGGAGAGGAUCAAUCGUGAUCGAGAUCUCAUCCGCCAUAGUUCAAUACGAGGACCAAGAAGGAGGCUUCGCUCAAGCAACAACCUUUACUCCGGAUAUCUUCCAUCGUCCUCCGACGAGAAACUCAUCCAACAAACCCGAACCAUCUUGACUUAACCAGAGAACAACACAAAAAAAACUACAGAAAGUAAACCCUAGAAGGGAACUAAGGGUGCAGAAGCCGGCAGCCAUGGAUCUGUAAGAGCCUCCACGCUCCGGUAACUUAACCGGCGCCACAGAGCUAAAGAAGCCUCCGCAACCCGGGAGCUUUAUCGGCGAUGCUAGAGCUGUGUAAGCCUCUACAACCCGGAUCAAAACGCCGCUGAAAUGGAGAUCUGACUAUCCUAUCU